ACACCGAAGUCAAGCAUCAUUGGGCACGGUCAGUACUUGGGUGGGUGACCACCUGGGAACACCGCGUGCC
This is a non-coding RNA of Caerostris darwini, 70 nucleotides long. Lineage: Eukaryota; Metazoa; Arthropoda; Arachnida; Araneae; Araneidae. The record is from the annotation of a GenBank genome assembly.